AGAGCGAACGCUGGCGGCAGGCCUAACACAUGCAAGUCGAGCGCCCGUAGCAAUACGGGAGCGGCAGACGGGAUAGUAACACGUGGGAACGCGCCCUUCGGUUCGGAAUAACUCAGGGAAACUUGAGCUAAUACCGGAUACGCCCUUACGGGGAAAGAUUUAUUGCCGAAGGAACGGCCCGCGUCCGAUUAGCUAGUUGGCGAGGUAAUGGCUCACCAAGGCGACGAUCGGUAGCUGGUCUGAGAGGAUGACCAGCAUCACUGGGACUGAGACACGGCCCAGACUCCUACGGGAGGCAGCAGUGGGGAAUAUUGGACAAUGGGCGCAAGCCUGAUCCAGCCAUGCCGCGUGGAUGAUGAAGGCCUUAGGGUUGUAAAGUCCUUUUAACGGGGAGAUAAUGACGGUACCGUAGAAUAAGCCCCGGCUAACUUCGUGCCAGCAGCCGC
This 446-nucleotide ribosomal RNA is filed under the name uncultured bacterium. RNAcentral's name for it is "SSU rRNA". It matches the Rfam family "Bacterial small subunit ribosomal RNA", at positions 26 to 518 of the family's 1533-position model. The record is from RNAcentral.